Molecule: ribosomal RNA, 497 nt
Filed under: uncultured bacterium
Lineage: Bacteria
Description: partial 16S ribosomal RNA
Rfam family: Bacterial small subunit ribosomal RNA
Source: RNAcentral
GAUGAACGCUGGCGGCAUGCCUAAUACAUGCAAGUCGAGCGAACAGACGAGGAGCUUGCUCCUCUGACGUUAGCGGCGGACGGGUGAGUAACACGUGGAUAACCUACCUAUAAGACUGGGAUAACUUCGGGAAACCGGAGCUAAUACCGGAUAAUAUAUUGAACCGCAUGGUUCAAUAGUGAAAGACGGUUUUGCUGUCACUUAUAGAUGGAUCCGCGCCGCAUUAGCUAGUUGGUAAGGUAACGGCUUACCAAGGCAACGAUGCGUAGCCGACCUGAGAGGGUGAUCGGCCACACUGGAACUGAGACACGGUCCAGACUCCUACGGGAGGCAGCAGUAGGGAAUCUUCCGCAAUGGGCGAAGGCCUGACGGAGCAACGCCGCGUGAGUGAUGAAGGUCUUCGGAUCGUAAAACUCUUUUAUUAGGGAAGAACAAAUGUGUAAGUAACUAUGCACGUCUUGACGGUACCUAAUCAGAAAGCCACGGCUAACUACGUG